Molecule: ribosomal RNA, 486 nt
Filed under: uncultured bacterium
Lineage: Bacteria
Description: partial 16S ribosomal RNA
Rfam family: Bacterial small subunit ribosomal RNA
Source: RNAcentral
AUUGAACGCUGGCGGCAUGCCUUACACAUGCAAGUCGAACGGCAGCACGGGUGCUUGCACCUGGUGGCGAGUGGCGAACGGGUGAGUAAUACAUCGGAACAUGUCCUGUAGUGGGGGAUAGCCCGGCGAAAGCCGGAUUUAUACCGCAUACGAUCUACGGAUGAAAGCGGGGGACCUUCGGGCCUCGCGCUAUAGGGUUGGCCGAUGGCUGAUUAGCUAGUUGGUGGGGUAAAGGCCUACCAAGGCGACGAUCAGUAGCUGGUCUGAGAGGACGACCAGCCACACUGGGACUGAGACACGGCCCAGACUCCUACGGGAGGCAGCAGUGGGGAAUUUUGGACAAUGGGCGAAAGCCUGAUCCAGCAAUGCCGCGUGUGUGAAGAAGGCCUUCGGGUUGUAAAGCACUUUUGUCCGGAAAGAAAUCCUUGGCUCUAAUACAGUCGGGGGAUGACGGUACCGGAAGAAUAAGCACCGGCUAACUACGUG